CAGUCGCCGCGGGAAUACGAAGGGGGCUAGCGUUGCUCGGAAUUACUGGGCGUAAAGGGCGCGUAGGCGGAUAGUUAAGUCAGAGGUGAAAGCCCAGGGCUCAACCUUGGAACUGCCUUUGAUACUGGCUAUCUUGAGUUCGGGAGAGGUGUGUGGAACUCCGAGUGUAGAGGUGAAAUUCGUAGAUAUUCGGAAGAACACCAGUGGCGAAGGCGACACACUGGCCCGAUACUGACGCUGAGGCGCGAAAGCGUGGGGAGCAAACAGGAUUAGAUACCCCAGUAGUCCCUGUCUCUUAUAC
This 301-nucleotide ribosomal RNA is filed under the name uncultured bacterium. Its description in RNAcentral is "partial 16S ribosomal RNA". It matches the Rfam family "Bacterial small subunit ribosomal RNA", at positions 509 to 807 of the family's 1533-position model. The record is from RNAcentral.